This is a long non-coding RNA of Argiope bruennichi, 3897 nucleotides long. RefSeq lists it as uncharacterized. The transcript is spliced from 4 exons. NCBI's taxonomy places the organism in Eukaryota, Metazoa, Arthropoda, Arachnida, Araneae, Araneidae. The record is from RefSeq and is a predicted model, not a curated record.
AUUUUUCAGUCGAAUUACUUGUGUUUGGGUGAGUGUAUCAUUUUCGUAUGGAGGUGGCUAUACGAAUCAAUAUAUUAUAUGCGUGUACUUCUGAUACUGUGACUGUUGAUGGCAAAAUUACCUUCCCAUGAACAGAAACGCCAAAUAUCGGCUUCAAGCAGCUGCUCUGUAGGUUUAAAAUCGACAUUUGCAAUGAAUCAUUCUCACCCAACUCCUAACCGGGUAUGAAACUUGGGCAGCCCAAUCAAGACGAGAAACUGAAAACAUUGUCUAGAUUUACAAAAGGAAGCUGCCUGAAUUUCCCAAGGUUACUUCCGUCUGUGUUCAAACGAUAGUCGAUAUGAGAAAAUGAAUUCGAUGAUUAUCCUGCCUUAAUGUUCUCUCUGAGCGAGUGCAAAUAUUCAAAGGGCUCCUUGUAAAGUCUGCUCUCUGCCUAUCCAGAACUUUGUCCAUGCUGAUCAAGACUUGCCUUAAUUCCAGAUGAAGCUGUGAAUCUUCCAAUUCUUCAAUGCUUUGAAAUCAACCUAGAACAGCUAACUUCAGAUUUCUCCUGUACCAGCAAUGACUAAAAAUACUCUCCCAAAAUAUGAAAAGGUACUACAAUGAUUUAUUUGGCUUAAGUGCAUGCAAUCAAGUCUUUAUUGAUCAGUUUCAUGCAUGGAAUUUUUCUUCCUCAAACUGUACACUUCGACAUAAAAGCUUUAACUAAACUGAUGGUAAAGUAUUUUGUAUCAUGGGGAACUUCAAUGCAUCUUAAGCAAUUUUUCAAAUAGUUUCUUUAAACAUUAAAAUUUCCAAUGUUUAAUUAUUUCGAAUGAAACGGACGAAACUACUAAUCCAGUUAAAUAUUAAUGAUGUGUUUAAGAGACGAGUUGGAUUCAAACUAUAAAUCACCGACAUCUCAAUUAUGCAUUAAGCCUCUAAACGGAUCAGAAUGUCUGUUUACUUAACAUACUUAAGCUCGGAAUUCCGAUCGUAGACUUAGUCAUUUGGCACUCGCUUAAUAUGUUAAAUUGGUACUACCACUCUUGGCUCCCUCGCUUGAUACGGCGUACUGAAAUGUUCAAGAUAAUAUCAGUUAGGUACGCUGGGUAAUGAUUGUCACGUCUAGGUAAAACGCUGUUUUACGCAUGUAAUUGAUGCCAACGAUUAUUCUAAUCGGAGGAAUAAAGUUCAAUGUUAACUGAAUAUUUAGAAAUAUUUUCGACGUUUCCAAAAAACAGCUGAACUAAUUUCUUUAACAUAGAUUCGAUUUGAAAAGCUAGUUGAAGUGAUACUUUAAAUGGCUUUUAAUUUGCACUAAAUGAUAACUUCCUUUAGGAUUUCUAACUUUUUAAUUAGUUUGAUCGUACAAUUCUACAAAUUCUAGCAUUAACCAAGAUAAACGUACUCUUCUCCAAAUACUAAAUUAGAUACUUUUUAAAUAACUUGAUCUAUAGAAAGUUAUUACAGAGAACUCAAAUCGGUGAGGAAUUAAAAUUGCAACAUCUUAGUAUCUUAAUUUGUAGCAUUAAACAUUAAAUCUCGUUUAAACUCGGUCAUUUAGCAGGAUAUAGAACGCAUUGAUAAACUGCUUUUGAAUUAGUUGGCUUUUCUCGCUUUUUCUAAACAUUAAAUUGUAUACAUAGUCCAAGGUUUGAACGAAAACGAUAACUUGUUACCGUAAUUCAAAGAACUUUUAGCUAUCGAGUUAGAUGCCAAUAUUAAGUAUAAAUUGCACUUAACGGGUUCAUUACAAAUAAGAAAGAUGAACGAAUAACGCUUAGGGAGAGGGUAGGUUGGAAUGCAGGGCAACACGUUAUGUGCUGGUCCCUGUUUACUUUCUGUCUAGGCUGUUUGGGACCGGCGGUCUAAAUGGAAAGUAUCGGUCCCCAGGGAGCCAGUACUUAACGUGUUAAUGGUCGAUGGGGUUGGUAGCCAACGUAAAAAUGGAGGAUUAGGUCGGUAGACACUAAAAUUAAGCGAGAUCGUAAUUGGCUUAAACAAGUACAGUGGGAGAGGGAAGUGUUGAACUCGUACUUGCAAUUUAUACUUCUAAUAUUGGUAACGUUCAUUGGAUAUGAAAGCAAGGAAAAUUAAUUUUCGUAAACUUAAAUAUUUAUGCAGUAAUGCGACGAGACCUUCCAGUGCCUGUAUUUUUCGCGAGUAUUACAGAUGGGGAAGGCUAAUACGCGAUCCUGUAUUUAGUAAGAAAGGCAAGUCUAUUAUUGCGAAGUCUAAAUAUUUUUGAGCAAAACUGCAGUUUAAAAGAAUUGGUAGAAAAGCUUUCAGAUUUUCUCAAUUCCAAGGAGAAGAGUACAGCAGAUACCAUCUUCUGAGAUUUUUUGCCUCGAAUUUUGAGAUCUAAAUCGAAAUGAAUGCCGUCUUAGCAUUUAACUGGUUGACAAGCAUUCUAUUUAACUUGAAUCGUUUUAAGUACCUAAAAAAAAGGAUGACGCUUCGAUAGCUUUAACCCAAUGCAAUCUUCUAAAAUUCUCAAAUUUAAGUCUUAAAUAAUUGAAGAGAUAUUUAAAGUUAAAAUUAACGCUUCUGUAAUUUUAACCAGUGUCUUCUGAAAUUUAAAUAGUCCUGGGAAUGAUUUUUCAAAUCGAACAUUUUUAAACUUGGUAAAUUUCAGAUCUAAUUCGGAAGACCAUUCAAAAUUAUUAGGACGUUUACAGCUGCAUUUUCUAUUUCAUUCAAGCGUAUGUCGAAGUUAAUUAAAGUGCUUAAAUUUUCUUUUGUAAUAGUAACUUCAGUAAGAUCUUUAGUACAAUGCUAAUUUCUCUUCUGCCGCUCGUUUAGCGAAUUUUUUCCUAUAAAACUAAUAUUUGAAUUUUGAAUUUGCUGGAUUCUUAAUUAAAACUUUAAUUGCGUGAUAAGCCAUCAUAUCGGGAAUCGAACGCAAUUCCUUUCGUGCAAUAAUGUAAGCUUUGAUUUCGGAAGUCUUCAAAUAUUCCACUUAAAUAGCGUACUAAACAUUUGAAUUGAUAUCUUUUAAAUUACCAUCAUUAUAAACAUUUAAAUUCGUACAAUCGUCCGUUUCAUUUGAAUAAAAUUUCGUCGUCCAUUUUAAUUUUGCUACAUAAUGUUUCAUUAACGUCCAACUCGAUUUAAAUCGGAAUUCUUCUGAUAUGUGCAAUUUUAAACGAUGCAGUCAAGUUAUUAGCGUGAAAUGACUUGCCUCAAAGCUUUCUAUGCUUGUGCAUCGAAGGCUUCCAUACCAACAUCCAUAGUCCAAACUUUUCUUUAAUUUUAAGUAUAAUACAUUUUGAAAUAAGUUUUCAUUGAAGUUCCCUUAUUUUAAAGUCUCCAAUUAAAGUAAAUUUUUUUAUUGUAAGCUUAAAACUAUUUUCAAUAUUAGCUGCUUAAUAUUUUGUCUAUUCGUAAUUUCGUAAGAUUGUAUUCAUUUGAUUAUUGUAUGGAAUAUUUUAAUGCGAAGGUGUACAAGAUCUUAAGAGCAAGAACUUCUGUAAUUAUCAUUAUGUAUGAAGAUUAAUAUAUUACUCUCAAGGCUGGAUGGUGUAUAGAUUAAAUAGAUUCCAUGAAGCAUAAUAAUUUAUUCGCGAAUAUUUUUAUUUAUAAAACUAAUUUAUAAGUUUAAAUAUUUCAUAAUAGGUCAUUCGCAAAGGCUACAAUAGAAAUCCAGAUCAAUUAAGAGCAAUUACGCCUCCGUUUGAGAUGGAAACGUCUACAAAAUGCAGAUUAAUCGUAGUUUAAGCAUUUUUCACAUUUAGAAUGCAGUUUUCUAGUUUAAAACUUUUUAUUGUGCAAUGAGCUUAUGUUCGUAAACACAGCGCUUUACAACUGUGAUUUAGAUAUAGGUUGAAACUCUAAAAUUCUGCAUACGCUUCUCGUAUUAUAUAGGAAUGCCCCUUUGCCUUAAAAAUCCAACUUAAAAUAAAAACAACUGAAGUU